AACACUAAUGAUUGAAGGCAAUACUGAGGUGACAAUGACUCAACAUACAUUUGGAUUGCAAGAUUGAGGUGGAGACUAACUUUAGUGCCAUAUAUUUUAUUCUGGUUGUUGAAUUUAUCUUUUCAUGUUUUUUGGUUGAAUUAGUGUCUUUUGUUUAUGUGAUAUGUUCAUGUUUUGUAUUGAUUUACUCAAUUUCGAAUGUUGAAUGUCCGGAGUAUCGACAUAUAUUUUCAAUGAUAUGUUUACAUAGUAUUUUUCGUGAAUUGAGAUGGAUAAUAUUGUUGUUUGUGUUUGAAA
This 297-nucleotide long non-coding RNA is filed under the name Lathyrus oleraceus (garden pea). Its description in RNAcentral is "Pisum sativum (pea) long non-coding RNA (PSAT_LNC033575)". Lineage: Eukaryota; Viridiplantae; Streptophyta; Magnoliopsida; Fabales; Fabaceae. The record is from RNAcentral.